Long non-coding RNA from Homo sapiens (human), 2337 nucleotides. Ensembl annotates it as TSPOAP1, SUPT4H1 and RNF43 antisense RNA 1. Its record names the gene TSPOAP1-AS1. NCBI's taxonomy places the organism in Eukaryota, Metazoa, Chordata, Mammalia, Primates, Hominidae. The record is from Ensembl.
AUGGUAUCUUCUCAGCUGGCUCGAGGGCACACCUCCCAAAAUGCAGAGAAGGCAGGGUGGCUAGGAAUGGCUCUAGUAGAAUUCUCCCCUUAUCUUGUCUGGAAACAAGGGGCAAAGAGCUAUCUAUUUCCUCCUGCCAGCCUCCUGCCCCCAACAGGAUUCCUCACAUCCCAGGACCAGCUGGAAAAGGUGGUGAGAGUUGGAAAGAGACUGCUCAGUGAGGACUGCCCUGCGAACCAGCUUGGAUUCAUCCCGUUCACCUCCACGUUCUGCACUCGGGGCCGAGGGAAGGGAGGCAGCCCAGGCAGCUAGAGAACUUGAUGAAACACACUCAAUCUGAAUCUCGCUUGAUCGUCAUGCUGACCCAGUGAGGCCACUCCUCGACUUUUCAGCUCCCGCACGAUUCCUGAAGCAGGAAAAGAAACAGUUCUGUGAGUCUACUCAGGGUCAGGCAUCCUUUCCGACUACUCACUCAGCAGCGGAUCCCCACCCGCCUCUGACUCCCAGUGUCUUUCGGCUCCAACGUAAGUUCACCGAACGUCUAAGAGCUGAGGAUUCAAAGGCAUGUAAGACCGCCCCUGCCCUCAGCUGCAAGACCUGUCCGCGAUCCUACGAGCCCCAUUCCGCCCUCUUUCCCCGACCUUGGUCCCCCAUGGGCCCUACAACCAGGUCCCCGACUGACACCUUGACCAGCGAACACAGCAAACAGGCCCGCAGAUGCCGCAGGUCCUUCGGCACCGUCUCCAGGGCCAUCUUCGCCGAUGGGAAGAACAACAGGGAGAUAGACGACCACAGCCUGUGCACCCGCAGGAAGUAAAUAGCUCGUUACCCAGAAUGCCCACCACUUCCGGCGCUUAGACUUCCUCUUCCGGUGUGGGCGGACGCCAGCUCCGCCCCUACCCCCGCCAGAGGAGAUGGUUUCUCCCGCCAGCAGGCGGGGAGGCUGGGCGGCCGGCCGCCACCUGGGCCGGAGCGCGUCGCAGCCACCUGAGCCCGCCGAGGGCGCGGCGGAGGCUGUGUGGGGUAGUCAGCGGGCCCCCGGGGCGGGGGGGCGGCUGCGCUUGCGCGGGAGUGUGUCGGGCUGAGCCGCAGCGCCGAGACGCGGGCUGUUUGAUCUGGGCUGGUGGCCCUGGGCGUCGGUCCUGUUCCCCGAUGGUAACCCGAAGUUUGUUUUUUUUUGUUUUGUCUCCCCGUUUUAGAAGCAUUGGGGGCAGUGAAUCCACUGUCUCCCUCUGGAUUGUCUCUGCAGAGACCGAGAAGAAAUCCAGGGACAGCCCCACCCCUCCUUCCUAACUGCGAGAGCGCUAUAGGGUUUCCACUUGCUUCCCACAGGAAUGCUGGCCUGGGAGCUACGGCGGAAAAAAAUGCGUAUUUAUCUUUUAAAACUCCGUCUGUUUGCUCGUUCCGGCUGAUAAUUUAUACUUUGCGCAGUUCUUAGCGCUUAGACACGGUUCCUUUACUAAAGACCAUUUGUAGGAGAUUAGGUGUCCUUUUUUUCCCUUUCAUUUCACCGUCUAGGAAGCGAAAUGCCUUGUUCUAUAGGCACUAAACCACCACCCCUACCAAACCUUUCUCGGGGAAGCAGAAGGGGAACUUGUGCCUUGUGAGGAAGCGACAAAGGCCCCUUCUGGCCCUGGAGACUUCACGCCAAUGGAGCACCAGCUCUCUGUCCUCGCAAUAGCCCGAGUGCAGGCAGAACGCAGUCAUUUGUGUUUAUCUGAGAGGAGCUUUGGGAUAUAAAUAGUUUCAGGCCCCGCUGCGCUGUCAUUCCAGCCCAGCCUCCUGAUUGAGCUGCUUCCGGGCGGGCUUUCUUCUUGUUGGCGGUCCCAUGCUGUGUUCAGAUGGGCUCUGUGACAGGUUUGGAUGUUUUCUAUCACUGAAUAAAACUUUCCACUUUGGAACAUAUUUUCUACACUCUAUUAUCUCAUGUAAGUCCUGCAACAACUAUUAAGUAGGCCCAUUUUAUGGACUGAAAAAGCGAGGCACAGAGUAUUUGCCCAAGGUCUGAGUCACUGAAGUAUGAUAAUGUGUGAAGUGAACAGUAUAAUAAUAAUGACUGAAGCACAGUAAGAAUCCAGUCAUGCUUUCUCCUUCCCUGAUCUCACUAAGCCACACUUUUAGGGGCUUACAAACCAGUUCUUAUUGCCAAGCCCUCUACUCUACCCUAUCCUUUCAUGAAUCGGAGCCUAGCCUCUGAUAACAUAAAUAAUUUACUUCUCUUGAUGUAGAAAGAGAUGACGUUGUUACCCUGAGUGACAGUCACGACAGAACAAAACCACAAGACCAGACCACAUUUGUGGAUAAAUAUAUUAGCAAAUAAAUAUAUUUCUUAACAUA